This 332-nucleotide unclassified non-coding RNA is filed under the name soil metagenome. Its description in RNAcentral is "partial contains 5.8S ribosomal RNA, internal transcribed spacer 2, and large subunit ribosomal RNA". The stretch from base 1 to 120 matches the Rfam family "5.8S ribosomal RNA", at positions 35 to 154 of the family's 154-position model. The record is from RNAcentral.
GAUGAAGAACGUAGCGAAAUGCGAUAAGUAGUGUGAAUUGCAGAAUUCAGUGAAUCAUCGAAUCUUUGAACGCACAUUGCGCCCUUUGGUAUUCCUUAGGGCAUGCCUGAUCGAGCGUCAUUUAAACCUUCAAGCUAAGCUUGGUGUUGGGUGACUGUCCGCUUCACGGCGGACUCGCCUCAAAAUUAUUGGCGGCCGGUACAUUGGCUUCGAGCGCAGCAGAAACGCGAACUCGGGCCCGUCGUAUUGGCUCCCAGAAGCUAUCUUCACAAUUUUGACCUCGGAUCAGGUAGGGAUACCCGCUGAACUUAAGCAUAUCAAUAAGCGGAGGA